GGAAGGUCUUGCAUAUCGGUAGUGCUAACUAGUCUUGAAAACUAGCGGUCAGAAAUGGUCUAGGGGUUCAACUCCCCUACCUUCCU
This 86-nucleotide transfer RNA is filed under the name Bacillus phage vB_BanS-Thrax3. Its description in RNAcentral is "tRNA-Ser". It matches the Rfam family "tRNA". From Rfam's summary of the family: Transfer RNA (tRNA) molecules are approximately 80 nucleotides in length. Their secondary structure includes four short double-helical elements and three loops (D, anti-codon, and T loops). Lineage: Duplodnaviria; Heunggongvirae; Uroviricota; Caudoviricetes. The record is from RNAcentral.